AACCUCCGCAAUGUGAGAAAUCGCGACGGGGGGAUCCCAAGUGCCAUUCUUAACGGGAUGGCUUUUCAUUAGUGUAAAGAGCUUUUGGAAUAAGAGCUGGGCAAGACCGGUGCCAGCCGCCGCGGUAACACCGGCAGCUCUAGUGGUAGCAAUUUUUAUUGGGCCUAAAGCGUCCGUAGCCGGUUUAAUAAGUCUCUGGUGAAAUCCUGCAGCUUAACUGUGGGAAUUGCUGGAGAUACUAUUAGACUUGAGAUCGGGAGAGGUUAGAGGUACUCCCAGGGUAGAGGUGAAAUUCUGUAAUCCUGGGAGGACCGCCUGUUGCGAAGGCGUCUAACUGGAACGAUUCUGACGGUGAGGGACGAAAGUUAGGGGCGCGAACCGGAUUAGAUACCCGGGUAGUCUAACUGUAAACGAUGCGGACUUGGUGUUGGGGUGGCUUUGAGCUGCUCCAGUGCCGAAGGGAAGCUGUUAAGUCCGCCGCCUGGGAAGUACGGUCGCAAGACUGAAACUUAAAGGAAGU
This 520-nucleotide ribosomal RNA is filed under the name uncultured bacterium. Its description in RNAcentral is "bacterial SSU rRNA". It matches the Rfam family "Archaeal small subunit ribosomal RNA", at positions 345 to 866 of the family's 1478-position model. The record is from RNAcentral.